RNAcentral lists this ribosomal RNA (253 nucleotides) under uncultured bacterium. RNAcentral describes it as "partial 16S ribosomal RNA". It matches the Rfam family "Bacterial small subunit ribosomal RNA", at positions 524 to 776 of the family's 1533-position model. The record is from RNAcentral.
UACAGAGGAGCCAAGCGUUGUCCGGAUUGACUGGGCGUAAAGCGCACGCAGGCGGCUGCGCGCGUGGGGUGGGAAAUCUGGCCGCUUAACGGCCAGGCGCCAUCCCAUACGGCGCGGCUUGAGCCUUGCAGAGGGCGGUGGAAUUGCCGGUGUAGUGGUGAAAUGCGUAGAGAUCGGCAGGAACACCCAGGGGGAAACCAGCCGCCUGGGCAAGCGCUGACGCUGAGGUGCGAGAGCGUGGGGAGCGAACCGG